This 1655-nucleotide long non-coding RNA is filed under the name Cicer arietinum (chickpea). Its description in RNAcentral is "long non-coding RNA (CARI_LNC002031)". Lineage: Eukaryota; Viridiplantae; Streptophyta; Magnoliopsida; Fabales; Fabaceae. The record is from RNAcentral.
AAAAAUGUUCAUAGCAGUUAUUAUUUAAUGAAACUCAAUAGCAACGAACUUUAAGAAAAACUAAAACUCAGUAAUAAAUUAGCGGUAUAAAGAGUAAUAUCAAUAACUAAUACACUUAAAAUGUGUAAUGUGUUUCAUAUAUUAAAAACCAAAAAAGUAUCGUACUUGUCUCUUAUAAAAAGAAUUGAAGGGAGUAAAAGUACCAAAACCAGCAAAUUUAUCAACACAAACAUUACCUUGUGUGUGAAAAUGAGAAUCAACCAAAAACUUUAUAUUGUUAAAACCCCAUAAAACUAUUCAGGUUCUGGUAGCAAAUGAAUGACAGAGAAAGACAAUAUGAGAUUUAAAAGCAAAUUACAAGGAAAAGGCAAACAAAGCACAAUAUCACAUUGCAUAUCCUAGCAAACCUCAUCAUUGGAGCACUUGAGAACAAAACAGUCCUUGUCUUUCAACAGUCAACAAACACUAACAUAUUAUUCAUUUCAAAAUGGUGCUUGUUUAUAUGAUUAUGUUGAUUUGGUGUAGAAACGAAUGCCAACUGCCACGCCCAAGAUCAACAAGGGAACAAGAAACUGAAGGAUCUUGAUGAUGAACUCCGGCGUCUUAUCCUGAUUAUAUUGAGGUUGUUUUGGAGCAGUGUAGUCAACCUUAGAGGGAAUGGUUGAUACAUCGAUAUCUCCAAUAUAAUACUCGUCCAUCAUCGCUGAUGCACUUGAGCUAUGACCAACGUCGUUGAAAUCAUCAGUUGCAUCUUUCCCUGCAAACAUUUGUCGUUUGGACUAUAUCAAAACAAAAGACAUUUAUUUAUAUUUACAUUUAUGAUGCACCGACACAGGUACAUGCACCAAACAAGACCCUUAUACACCAAUAACAAUUUGAAAAAAUAGAAAUGAUUGAAUGAAACCACAUGUGUCGGACACCAGACUCGAGUUAUCAAAAUAGACUGGGCCCAGCGGGCUGUGCCAGUCGGCUCCCAUUUUAGUCUCAGCCUAAAAACAAUAAUCUUUUUGGCCAAGCCCAUUUUAAAAAUAGGGUUGAUUGGGCUGGGCUGGCCCAUGUGUAGAAGAAAAAGAUAAACCAGUUUUUUUUUUUCAAAAAUAAUCAGAUUUCUUCAUUUUCUUGGUCUCAAUUUUAGAAAAAGUUAUUCAUCUUAAUUUCUCAAAAGAAGUUUUUUCACGUUUAAAGGAGUUGAUACUAAUUUGUCCAAAAAUGUUCAUAGCAGUUAUUAUUUAAUGAAACUCAAUAGCAACGAACUUUAAGAAAAACUAAAACUCAGUAAUAAAUUAGCGGUAUAAAGAGUAAUAUCAAUAACUAAUACACUUAAAAUGUGUAAUGUGUUUCAUAUAUUAAAAACCAAAAAAGUAUCGUACUUGUCUCUUAUAAAAAGAAUUGAAGGGAGUAAAAGUACCAAAACCAGCAAAUUUAUCAACACAAACAUUACCUUGUGUGUGAAAAUGAGAAUCAACCAAAAACUUUAUAUUGUUAAAACCCCAUAAAACUAUUCAGGUUCUGGUAGCAAAUGAAUGACAGAGAAAGACAAUAUGAGAUUUAAAAGCAAAUUACAAGGAAAAGGCAAACAAAGCACAAUAUCACAUUGCAUAUCCUAGCAAACCUCAUCAUUGGAGCACUUGAGAACAAAACAGUCCUUGUCUUUC